Etheostoma cragini (Arkansas darter) is the source of this 570-nucleotide long non-coding RNA. RefSeq lists it as uncharacterized. Lineage: Eukaryota; Metazoa; Chordata; Actinopteri; Perciformes; Percidae. The record is from RefSeq and is a predicted model, not a curated record. The transcript is spliced from 2 exons.
UUUUUUUGUUCUGUGUGAAUGGCAGAUAACUCCCACAUGCUCUUCAUCCUGUCGUGUGCUGCCAUUCUUGUAGCCACCUUCUCCUUCAUCAUGGUCAUCGCCUGCCACCCUUGUCUUUACAACAGAUCACAGAUUGCUACUUCCACCAACGCUGUAUUCCUGAAGAACCAGGACUAUGAAGGUCAAAGCCCCGAUUCUUUUUAACGUGAGGAGGGGAGAGAAGGAGCAACUCCUCCUGCAUUAUGGAAAUCAAUACUUGAGUUAAUUCUCACACCGCUCCUCCGCCUGCUCUCCGUCUGUGCUCCAACAUGCUGUGCACACAUGUACGUGUAGGGUUUGUUACAGACGGAAAAUGCCCAAUUAUGGCGUUACAGGACAAUUCUCAUCUGGUGUAUCCCCAUGUUAUAGAUUUUAAUGAAUCAAGUUGCGUAGGCAGUGCCUGUAUGUACUCAGGACAAUGGUCUAAACUGUGUUAAUAACUGCUAAACUCACCAAUGUUCAGUAAGCUGUUAGGUCACUUUCCAUAAAGCAGCAAUCAAUUAACGAGCCACAGAGCUUAGGUUGACAUUA